UUACGGUGCCUCUGUUCAUAUUUAAUAGAAGCAGAGGGUAAAAGGGAAGCAGGUCUGAAUCCUGCACGAUCUCGUCACUGUAUUUGCGGAGCGUUAUGCCGUUACAUUUUGUGGUCACUGGGGAACCGGGAAGACUGGCAUAUCGUUAUGAUGCAUGAGUCAGGAAACCUGCCGUAUGC
This 179-nucleotide non-coding RNA is filed under the name bovine gut metagenome. The record is from RNAcentral.